Molecule: ribosomal RNA, 1449 nt
Filed under: Triticum aestivum (bread wheat)
Lineage: Eukaryota; Viridiplantae; Streptophyta; Magnoliopsida; Poales; Poaceae
Description: partial small subunit ribosomal RNA
Source: RNAcentral
AUGGCAGCAAAACCGACCAUCGUGCUACUGCCCGCGUGGGGCGUCGGCCACUUCAUGCCCAUGAUCGAGGCCGGCAAGCGGAUGCUCCAAUGCUGCAGCAGUGCCCUCUCGCUCACGGUGCUCCUCAUGCCGGCGCCGACGGCGCAGGCCGAGUCCGACAUCGCCGACCACAUACGCCGGGAGGAGGAAGCCGGCGCCACCGACAUCCGCUUCCUUCACCUCCCGUCCGUGCCGCUCCCGACCGACCACACGGGCGUCGAGGAGUGGAUCUCCCGCAUCGUGCAGCUCCACGUGCCCCACAUCCGGGCCGCCGUCUCCGGCCUCGCGUGCCCCGUCGCGGCGCUCGUCCUCGACAUCUUCUUCACCCCGGCGCUCGACGUGUCCCGCGACCUCGCCGUGCCGGCCUACGUCUACUUCACCUCCGGCGCCGCGAUGCUGGCGCUGCUGCUGCGCUCGCCGUCGCUCCAGGACGAGGUGGAGGGGGACUUUGAAGGCCCGGUGGACGUGCCCGGCCUCCCGCCGCUGCCGCCGUCCUUCCUGCCGGAGACCUUGCUGGACAAAAAGAGCCCGACUUACACGUGGUUCCUGUACACGGGGAGGCGCUACAUGGAAGCCAAGGGCAUCAUCGUCAACACGGCGGCUGAGCUCGAGACCGGCGUCCUCGCUGCCAUCGCCCAAGGCCGGUGCACCCGCGGCGUCCGCGCCCCGACCGUGUACCCCAUCGGCCCGGCGAUCUCGCUAAUAAGCCCGCCGGCCGAGCAGCCGCACGAGUGCGUGCGGUGGCUCGACUCGCAGCCUCCGAGCUCGGUGCUCUUCCUCUGCUUCGGGAGCAAAGGGAUGCUGCCGCCACUGCAGGUGCACGAGAUAGCCCACGGCCUGGAGCGCAGCGGCCACCGCUUCCUCUGGGUGCUGCGCGGCCUGCCGCUGGACGCCACGAUGGGCGCGAGAGACCCGACGGACGCGAACCUCGCCGAGCUGCUCCCGGAGGGCUUCCUGGACAAGACGAAGGGGAGAGGGCUGGUGUGGCCGACGAGGGCGCCGCAGAAGGAGAUACUGGCGCACGCCGCCGUCGGGGGCUUCGUCACGCACUGCGGCUGGAACUCCAUCCUCGAGAGCCUCUGGUUUGGCGUGCCCAUGCUGCCGUGGCCGCUCGCCGCCGACCAGCACCUCAACGCGUUCGCGGUCGUCCACGGGAUGGGCGCCGCCGUGCCGCUGGAGAUGGACAGGAAGCGUGGGAACUACGUCCAAGCGGCGCAGCUGGAGCGGGCGGUCAGGUCCCUCAUGGGCGGCGGCGACGAGGGGGUUAAGGCGAGGGAGAAGGCCAUGGAGAUGAAACGCGCCUGCCGCAAUGCCGUGGAGCAGAGCGGUUCCUCCUACGCUUCGUUGCAGAGGCUCUCCGAGGAGCUCGUCGGAGGCGCGGUGCUCCUGCCGAAAACAGGCAGCACCUAG